CAUGCAAGUCGAACGGAGCUAGAUAGCUUGCUAUCGAUGCUUAGUGGCGAACGGGUGAGUAACGCGUGAGCAACCUGCCCUUCAGAGGGGGGACAACAGUUGGAAACGACUGCUAAUACCGCAUGAUGUACGGAGGAGGCAUCUUCUCCGUAUCAAAGAUUUAUCGCUGAAGGAUGGGCUCGCGUCUGAUUAGAUAGUUGGUGAGGUAACGGCUCACCAAGUCGACGAUCAGUAGCCGGACUGAGAGGUUGAACGGCCACAUUGGGACUGAGAUACGGCCCAGACUCCUACGGGAGGCAGCAGUGGGGAAUAUUGGGCAAUGGGGGCAACCCUGACCCAGCAACGCCGCGUGAAGGAAGAAGGCUUUCGGGUUGUAAACUUCUUUUAUCAGGGACGAUAAUGACGGUACCUGAUGAAUAAGCCACGGCUAACUACGUG
Molecule: ribosomal RNA, 438 nt
Filed under: uncultured bacterium
Lineage: Bacteria
Description: bacterial SSU rRNA
Rfam family: Bacterial small subunit ribosomal RNA
Source: RNAcentral